UAUCAUGGCCGUGGUCGUGAUGGUAGAGACAGUACUUUUUUGGAUUGUGCUGACCCAGCUUCAUCUUCAUCCUCAUUGCCCUGGAAAGCUGCUCCCUUAUCUCCAUCAGUACUUGAGUUUAGGGAGUAUUCAGUAGAGUGAAGUUCAUAAAUCUCCUUGGUGGAGACACACGUCGCCCCCCUCUAAUGGGACUCUUCUGUUGGAGGUUCUGUGGAGGAGUUCAGGACCUCUGACAUCUGGGUGGA
Molecule: long non-coding RNA, 245 nt
Filed under: Elaeis guineensis (African oil palm)
Lineage: Eukaryota; Viridiplantae; Streptophyta; Magnoliopsida; Arecales; Arecaceae
Description: long non-coding RNA (EGUI_LNC063941)
Source: RNAcentral